UACGGAGGGUGCUAGCGUUGUUCGGAAUCACUGGGCGUAAAGCGCGUGUAGGCGGCCCACUAAGUCUGAUGUGAAAGCCCGGGGCUCACCCCCGGAAGUGCAUUGGAAACUGGUGGACUCGAGUCCCGGAGAGGAGGGUGGAAUUCCUGGUGUAGCGGUGAAAUGCGCAGAUAUCAGGAAGAACACCCGUGGCGAAAGCGGCUCUCUGGAACGGUACUGACGCUGAGACGCGAAAGCGUGGGGAGCGAACAGG
RNAcentral lists this ribosomal RNA (253 nucleotides) under uncultured bacterium. RNAcentral describes it as "partial 16S ribosomal RNA". It matches the Rfam family "Bacterial small subunit ribosomal RNA", at positions 524 to 776 of the family's 1533-position model. The record is from RNAcentral.